GUUGUGUGCAGUAACUAACAGAAGCAGUCCUCAGACUGUCUUUGAACUUCAUUACAAACCUGUGUCAGUUCACAUCAAAGUUGAGUCAUCAAGACUGGACACAUUGUUUGCCAGGCCUCCUUCAAGUUCUCUUAAGAUCUUAGUCCCCCAGCCAAGGAGCAUGCAGGACCGACCAUCCAGGUCUAUUUUUAAUUGUGUUUUAUUGCAGAUUGUUUUUAAUCUCACUGUAGUUUGAUUUAAAAAAAAAAUCACUUAAAUUUGCCCUUGGGAGAUAAUUGGGAAAUACCUAGGAGAGGCAAAAGUGAAGCAGCCUUAGAGCCACUCACUGCCUUUGCUCCACGCAGUCUGUGUCACCUGCAUCCUGCAGGCUUUGUCACCAUUGAUCUCCUUUGGAAGAAAGGGCUGUGCCCUCAUUUCACUUUAUGACCCAGGAAGUAAUGCUAACAUGAAACUGUUUGGUGGCAGGAGAGAGAGAUCACCCUUGCGUAUAUACUGCGAUAUAGUCUACUCUUUAGAGUUAGAUGCUCAGACAUGGGGAAAGUGCCUUCGGGUUGUCCUCUUAGCCACUGUGUUACUCAGAGGAGACUAAACAUUGCAGACGAUGGAAGAUCAUGCGACAUUUUUUUUAAAGGCCAUUUUAUUAUAAAGGUCUUGAUGUCUUCGCCUUUAACGUGACUUAACGUUUGCAGGAACUGGAAGACACAGUUAUUUUGCUCUAAUGUUCUGUACUUGUUAGCACAGUGCUAUGUGAAAUUCUUGUUUAUAAGCAAAGCUCAGAUGUUCCCUCUGAAAGAUUGUUCUUCCCCAGGGGGUGUCUCCUCAGCACAUUUUACUGUCCUAUUUAAGUACUGUAUAUUUGGUGAUAAUGAUGUUUACCAGUCUUUCCCACAAGGGCAGGAACAAAAAAAAA
RNAcentral lists this long non-coding RNA (910 nucleotides) under Rattus norvegicus (Norway rat). RNAcentral's name for it is "long non-coding RNA NONRATT010605". The record is from RNAcentral. Lineage: Eukaryota; Metazoa; Chordata; Mammalia; Rodentia; Muridae.